This 76-nucleotide small RNA is filed under the name Pseudomonas sp. SJZ094. RNAcentral describes it as "suhB". The record is from RNAcentral. Lineage: Bacteria; Pseudomonadati; Pseudomonadota; Gammaproteobacteria; Pseudomonadales; Pseudomonadaceae.
GGCAAAAUCAAGUAAUUGAUUUUCCUCCUUGUGAAAAAGCCCGUAUCUCACGAUACGGGCUUUUUUUUGCGUCGGA